AUUGAACGCUGGCGGCAUGCUUUACACAUGCAAGUCGAACGGUAACAGGCCGCCAGGUGCUGACGAGUGGCGAACGGGUGCGUAAUGCAUCGGAACGUGCCCAGUCGUGGGGGAUAACUACUCGAAAGAGUAGCUAAUACCGCAUACGAUCUAUGGAUGAAAGCGGGGGACCGUAAGGCCUCGCGCGAUUGGAGCGGCCGAUGUCAGAUUAGGUAGUUGGUGGGGUAAAGGCUCACCAAGCCAACGAUCUGUAGCUGGUCUGAGAGGACGACCAGCCACACUGGGACUGAGACACGGCCCAGACUCCUACGGGAGGCAGCAGUGGGGAAUUUUGGACAAUGGGCGCAAGCCUGAUCCAGCAAUGCCGCGUGCAGGAAGAAGGCCUUCGGGUUGUAAACUGCUUUUGUACGGAACGAAACGGCUCUGGUUAAUACCCGGGGAUAAUGACGGUACCGUAAGAAUAAGCACCGGCUAACUACGUG
RNAcentral lists this ribosomal RNA (482 nucleotides) under uncultured bacterium. RNAcentral's name for it is "partial 16S ribosomal RNA". It matches the Rfam family "Bacterial small subunit ribosomal RNA", at positions 30 to 507 of the family's 1533-position model. The record is from RNAcentral.